GGGCGGUGUGACGGGCGGUGUGUACAAGGCCCGGGAACGGAUUCACCGUGGCGUUCUGAUCCACGAUUACUAGCGACUCCAGCUUCAUGUAGGUGAGUUGCAACCUGCAAUCCGAACUGAGAUCUGCUUUCUGAGAUUAGCUACACCUCGCGGCUUCGCUGCUCUCUGUACAGACCAUUGUAGCACGUGUGUAGCCCAGGACAUAAGGGGCAUGAUGACUUGACGUCAUCCCCACCUUCCUCCAGAUUGCUCCUCUGGCAGUCUCCUUAGAGUCCCCACCAUUACGUGCUGGCAACUAAGGACAGGGGUUACGCUCGUUGCGGGACUUAACCCAACAUCUCACGACACGAGCUGACGACAGCCAUGCACCACCUGUCUCCUCGCUCCCGAAGGCACUCCUCAGUUUCCCGAGGAUUCGAGGGAUGUCAAGCCCUGGUAAGGUUCUUCGCGUUGCAUCGAAUUAAACCACAUACUCCACCGCUUGUGCGGGCCCCCGUCAAUUCCUUUGAGUUUCACACUUGCGUGUGUACUCCCCAGGCGGGAUACUUAUCGCGUUGGCUGCGGUACUGAACGGGUCGAUACGUCCAACACCUAGUAUCCAUCGUUUACAGCUAGGACUACAGGGGUAUCUAAUCCCUUUCGCUCCCCUAGCUUUCGUCCCUCAGCGUCAGUUACGGCCCAGUAGAGCGCCUUCGCCACUGGUGUUCUUCCCAAUAUCUACGCAUUUCACCGC
This 733-nucleotide ribosomal RNA is filed under the name uncultured bacterium. RNAcentral describes it as "partial 16S ribosomal RNA". The record is from RNAcentral.